Non-coding RNA from Paramuricea clavata, 1898 nucleotides. The record is from the annotation of a GenBank genome assembly. NCBI's taxonomy places the organism in Eukaryota, Metazoa, Cnidaria, Anthozoa, Malacalcyonacea, Plexauridae.
CAGUUAACGAAACUCAAGCCCAUGCCCUUUCAGUUGAGAUUUUACGUUUCGAACCAGAAUACAAAACUCAGUCUAAGUGGGUUAUAGGAUAGCUAGUGAUAACGUAAUUUAUCUUUUUAUUUUGCUUUUUUGUUAUAACGUAAUUUAUUAGGUAAAUGUAUGGAGUGUGAGAGUGUGCGCUGUGUGUAUAAGAUGCAUGGGGGGUUAGGCUAAGCUAAAGGAAUUACAAUUUUGAGAGCAUAUUGAAAGAGAAAAUAUAUCUUUUCUGAACAAAACAACUAAUUUCCUAACAUCAGCAAAAUUUUUUGAGUUCCGUUAUUUAAACCAAAACUAUAAUAAAGCCAUAUAGAAGGAAAAAUCCGGAUUUCAAGGUUUCGUAUAUUUGUCACUUAUUUCAUGUAUAUAGGCAAGUCAGAAACUCACCUGUUUGUGUAUGCGGUCUUUCUUAAUCGUCAACCUUCAAUUUAUCCCGUUUGCGUUUGGCCUAAAAUGUUAUAGAAAAUAUACAUAAUUAAAUAAUUAUGUAUAUUUUGCCAAAAUUUUAAUACCUUCAGUUUUAAGGGUGGGCAGUUUGGGUUGGUGGCAGGUUGGGCAGUUGUGAGUGUCUGUGUGAUGGCGAGGAAAGCGGAAGUUACGAAUGGAAUGCAGGUAGCUUAGGAACGAGGCAGACAGUGUAGGACCGAGGCAGAUAGCUUAGAACUGAGGCAGGUAGGCAGUUGGUAGGAAUCAGUGGGGGGCACUUGUCAUUUCGGCCAUGGGAUUCAAAAUUUGCAUGUUGAGUAUUUGUUACUAAUGCUUGUUGUUUUAGAUUUGCUAGGUAUGCGCGUGGCUGCUCUCAAGAGAAGAUCAACUUAGCAAUUUGCAUUAGCAUAUUUGCAAGGUUGGUCUUCUCUUCGCCCCGCUACCCCGGCUGGCUCUCCGAGUGCUGCCUCUACUUUAAGUAGAAGUACUUCUACUAUAUUGUAGAAGCACUUCUGCUUGAAGUGGAGGUAGCACUUGGGGAGCCGGCCGGGGUAGAGGGAUUUUUUUUAUUUUUUAUUUCAAUUCCCAUGGGAAUUGAAUUUUUAAUUAAAAAGGAGUCUCUUGUAUAAUUAAUGACAAUUUAUUGAAAAGAACUUGUAAAUCUUACAAUUUGAAUAACAAUAAAAAGAGAACAACCACUGCAUACUGUACUUAUUUAAAUAACAAUAGAAGAAAACAGAACAUGGCACAAAGAGAACAAUUAACAUUGUGUUCAACACAAGUGAAAACACAACAUUAAUUAAACAUGUUUACCCGUGAAUUAACAUUCAAAAAGUUAAUUCUUGAGGAAACAAGAGAACUUGGUCUUUUCAAGAUAAAUGUUUAUACUUCAAAAUAAAUAUUGUAAAACAACUCUAAUAAUGAUAAAUUUUACGAGUUUGACGGAGAAAUCCAAAGCGUAACACCAGGUUGUUUUACAAAGAAAAUAUAUGGCUCAAAGACAAAGUAGAUCGAACAUGCUUUUACUUUUUUGGAUACGAAUUAAGUGUUUUUGGUAAAGUGAACAAAACGUUUCACUUGAGUAUGGAAAAUAAUGAUUUUAUCGCGAUGUUUAGAUGCUAAGAGAAGUCAAUUCGUUGUAAUGCGAGAUAAGACAUUGUCAUUGACAACAAAUUCUAUUGCUUGAAGCAAAUUAAUUUCCUCAAAGUGCCUUAUACUUCAUUAAACUCAGAAAUGAUAUUUUUAAACAUCGUAAUACUUCCAUACUCAAUUGAACAUAUAUAAGAACAUUUUUUCACGCCAAAUCGAAAAAUAUUUAAAAUUUGAAAUUAUCCCGGUCUUUUGGAGCCAUAUAUUUUUUGAGCGUCGUUUUUAACCUGACAACUUUGAAUUGAUUAUAUAUAAUGUUAAUACUAAUUCAAGUGAUGAAAAUGCAG